GGAACGCCGACGGGCGCGACGGUCGGGGGACGGGGUCCUCUCGCCGUCCGGGGCGGGGGGGCUCCGUCCCCCGGGCGGUCGACGACUGGUUUAGAACUGAUACGGACUAGGAGAAUCCGACUGUUUAAUUAAAACGUAGCGUUGCGAAGGCCCCAGAGGGUGCUGACGCAACGUGAUUUCUGCCCAGUGCUCUGAAUGUUAAAAGCGAAGAAAUUCGACCAAGCGCGGGUAAACGGCGGGAGUAACUAUGACUCUCUUAAGGUAGCCAAAUGCCUCGUCAUCUAAUUAGUGACGCGCAUGAAUGGAUUAACGAGAUUCUCACUGUCCCUACUUACACCCCGGCGAAACCACAGCCAAGGGAACGGGCUUGGCGGAAUCGGCGGGGAAAGAAGACCCUGUUGAGCUUGACUCUAGUCGAACGUCGAGGAACAGCACGGACGAACGUAGCAUAGGUGGGAGGCUCCGGCCGAACCUGAAAUACCACCGUCUCCGUCGUUGUUCUUCUCAUUUGGUGGUGU
Molecule: ribosomal RNA, 518 nt
Filed under: uncultured eukaryote
Lineage: Eukaryota
Description: eukaryotic LSU rRNA
Rfam family: Eukaryotic large subunit ribosomal RNA
Source: RNAcentral